Molecule: transfer RNA, 74 nt
Filed under: Catenibacillus scindens
Lineage: Bacteria; Bacillati; Bacillota; Clostridia; Lachnospirales; Lachnospiraceae
Also listed under: 7 other names
Description: intestinal bacterium CG19-1 tRNA
Rfam family: tRNA
About the family: Transfer RNA (tRNA) molecules are approximately 80 nucleotides in length. Their secondary structure includes four short double-helical elements and three loops (D, anti-codon, and T loops).
Source: Rfam by way of RNAcentral
GUCGGCAUAGCUCAGCUGGAUAGAGCAUUCGCCUCCUAAGCGAAGGGUCGGAGGUUCAAAUCCUCUUGUCGACG